RNAcentral lists this long non-coding RNA (230 nucleotides) under Elaeis guineensis (African oil palm). RNAcentral's name for it is "long non-coding RNA (EGUI_LNC011376)". The record is from RNAcentral. Lineage: Eukaryota; Viridiplantae; Streptophyta; Magnoliopsida; Arecales; Arecaceae.
UGGGCUGAUUGUUCGCUGCCUCCUCAGUCGGUUAGGGUCGUCAGUCGGGGACAGAUCGAGUCGGCGGGUUCCUUCAAAAUUUUUCGAGAUACCCUCAGUGUAUGAGGGCCUCGAUUUCAUCCUUAAGUUAGAUGCACUGCUUGGUGUUGUGGCCGUGGCCUCGAUGAAAUCGGCAGUACUUUCGUCGGUCGAGACCCUUUGCCUUCAAAGGCGGAGGCCGUCGUAGAUAU